Gasterosteus aculeatus aculeatus (three-spined stickleback) is the source of this 5985-nucleotide long non-coding RNA. The record is from Ensembl. Lineage: Eukaryota; Metazoa; Chordata; Actinopteri; Perciformes; Gasterosteidae.
CUAUUUAUUGGAUAUUAUUCAAUUGAACUUUCUUUAUUUAAUUUGAAAGUCAGUUGUCAACUACAUAAUAUGUUCAUACAAAGCUACUCCCUGAACUAAAUAUCUAUAUAUUAAUUAAUGGUUAAACACGCCUGAUAUAACAGAAACCCAUUACAUAAAAUGUACCGUUGAGUUUCCAGAUUUUUACUUCAGAUCAAAUAUUCUCUGGGCAAUUUGGAUAUGCAAUGAAUAUUUGAGUAGUUUUAAAAUCAAGAUAGGUCCUUCAUUUUCAUACCAUUAAACAUACUUUCCUCUAGAACUAACAUUUUGACCAGUGAUUUGCUUUAGGAGGAUACUGAUUAUUAUUGGUGUCAUUCUUAUUAUUUAACGUAGGACAGGUGCCGUCAUACUUGUUGUUGAUACUGCAUUUACCAAAACUGUUGCAGAAACAGAAUAAAGUAGUUAGGCAAGAAUAGCAUACGAAAUGACUGGAGGGGGCAGAAGGGAUAUGAGGGAACUGGAGUGGAGAAUAGUUGAAUACAGGGGAAACACAGGCAGUGUCUUUUUUAUCUUAAUUCCUUUAGUUCAUUUGAGGUUAAUUGAAUCCUUUAAAAGCGCAGAGACACGUGAAAGAGGAGAGCGGGAGGUAUGGGUAAAGAGAGUAAAGAGAACUGCCCUUCACUGGUAAUGGCCUGGUUUGUUUGUUUUCAUAUCCAUGGUAGAGAACGUGACCCAAAAGUAAACUCGGGUCAGACGCUUUCUCAGACAGCCCAAUGUCUAUUUUGGUGCUGUCUGCAAACACAAAUAUAUCGGUCCCAAAGACACCACCGGCUGGAGGUCACCAAUGAAAACCUAUGUAAGCCGUUAUCGCACAAAACUUUUGCUAGUCAGUACGGUCUGAGCCGUAUCAGUCACACUUAGGCGUGAAUUCUAUCACGCUUCAGUUCUCCUCUUCUCUCUCUGCAUGCUUUCGCUCUGUUGAUGCUUUCCGUUUUCUCUCUUUUCCUUCACCCGUCCUCUUCUCCCAUCCACUUUUGCUGCUCUGAGCCGAUAAGGGAAUUGCUUCUUUCAUCGACGGAUCCUUUAAUUCUAUACUUUUAAUCAAGCCUGUUAGUACUUCUUAAUUAAGACAUCACAGUAGUGUUUGAUCACGCUCUUCUGUGUGUAUGUGUGUGUGUGUGUGUGUGAGAGAGAGAGAGGGCAUGAAAAAGAGUGCAGAAACUCUACCAGCCCCUACUCUGUGUGUGUGAAGAUGACUGAACAGCUUCAAGUGGGGUAGCUACGCCUCCUCCAACGGUUGUCUGCCAGGCCUUGAGGCUUGCGGUGUGUAGAUAUCCCAAGCCAUCAAGCAUCAACCUCCAGAGAUCCAUACUAGACAGAUGGUAUUGGAGACUUGGUGGGAUAUCGAGCUCCCUACUGUCAGUUUGUUGCGAUGAUAAGACACAACAGGCUGUCAAUACUUACAGUCCACUAAUCAAAGACGCUGGAUCAAAAUCCCACCCAGCACAAAGACUGUUUAGAAGGCAAAACUUAACUUUUUCUGGAUUUCAUUAGAGUGAGACUACACAUUUACAAACACACAAACAGUAACACUUUUGCUUGUUGUGACAUAUGUUCUGGCCUUGAGGUUUUCCUCCCUAAAGGCCGUUGACACUAUUAGUGAUUCUUCUCUUUAAUGGUGCGCGUAGGUGGGAAUAUGUGUACGUACAGGGUGGGGGUGGGCCUCUGCUGUACGGUUCUUAAUGGAAUGGACCUCUAUCCUCAGGCACGGAGUGAUGCACGCAAGUGGAGGGCAGGGAAGGGGGAUGACAGAAGCCUUAGUCUGACAUGCCUGACCUAUAUCCCUCUUUGCUUAGCAGAGAGAGGGAAAGAGUAAUUGGCAGAUACAGCUUCGCUGUUAGGGGCGCUCUCUCUCGCUGGAUGGUGUUUUCUGUGUUCGAUACGGCCGUUGACGAGGGUGAGGAUCCGCGCUCGGCGCUUCGGUCUCUUGUUUGUCAUCGGCGUAAAAUAGCAGGACAAGCCUUGCCUCGACACAGCUAAUUGUCUGCGUCGUUAGCAUGAUCAUACGUCCAGUGGCUUCAAUACUGAAACAAACUCAAAUGUGUGUCUGUCAGUCAAUUAGUCAGUCAGUGUGUGUGUGUUUGUGUGCAUGCGCUGUCUGGCGCUGGCAGGGAAGAUUUGGCGAAUUUUACAUGGGUGGGACUCACACACUCAUCACUCACACAUCCAUGCGCCUUACAAAUGAAAAUAAACAGGCUUUCCAACGGGAUGACAAUCAUUGCCAAGAAGCAUUGUUAUAAGAAAGAAAAAAAACACAAACACACUUUCUCUGCUAAGUUUAUAUUAUUGUAUUACUUAGUAUGUUAAAUUGUUAGUAAGAAGUUUUACUCCAAUGGGACUUUAGUUAACGAUCUGAGAACAUCUUCCACCAAUGGUUAUUGGUUGGGAUGAUGCUGAGUUGUUGAUUAUAUAUUCUUAGUUUAGAGUUUUUCUUAAUCUUUAGAAUGUCUGUGUCCGUAUAUGUGUGUGUGUUUUUGUGAGUGUGUGGUCCCCCUGGCAUGUCCUGGAUGCUUUAGCAGGAUACACAGCUCUUUCUGCCUGGUUAACUGAUGGGGGCUGUUUGGCUUCCAGACGAUUUAGCAAAGGAAGCUCUGCACAACAAACAUAAACAGACACGUACUGAUACAGGCAAUAACAGAGAAUGCAUACACCCAAAAAACCUCACACACAGACAGAAACACAUGUAUAUUUGCAAACAAAUGACAUAUUGAUUAUCAUGCGAAAGGGCAUGGGUGAGCAUGUACCACACGGACGACACUUUUGCAGAGAGUGCCUUAUUUCAGCUCUCCCACUCUAGCAGUCCAUUUGCCCCUAAGGUAGAGGAGGGAAGGGCCAACGGAUGGGAGAAGAGAAAGAAAGAACACCCCCCCCCCCCGCCCCCCCAUAGGUCAGGAUGAGAAAGGACUUAGAUCCUUAGAGCGGGACGUGGGCCUGAGUGGGGAUGAAGAGCUGGCAUGGGGAAGCAGAGGGUUGCGUGCGUGUGUGUUUGUGUUCCUCUUCAAGUCACUGUAGUUCAAAAACUGAACCACGUCCAAGCCCUGGUAAUGAUGCAGCCGGCUACAACAGACUACAAUAACCGACAGUCUAAGGCCGGCCAAUUACUGUCCGCCGCAAUUAUAUUUCCAAUUCAGAGGUAACGGGAGAAAGUGGCCCAACUCAAAUAAUCAUUUCGAGCAAUUACUUUUCAAACUAAUUAGAAUGUCAGGUUUGGCUGCGCGGGCCUGAGCUCGGGGGGAGGCUCUGUUUGUGUUUUUGUUGCUGUUUUCACUUUGUCAAAUGGAUGGACUUGAAAGGAGGGAGCAGGAGGAAGGGGCAAUAUCAGCAACAGUGCAAGCCAAACAUCAACCACAGCCAUGGAUUGAGAGACUUGGUCAUUGUGGGAGUUUGGUGAGUUCGUGGAAAUCCAUUGUGCUCAGGAGAAUGCUGUGUCCAUUCUGUUGUAUUUUGCUAGACUGGAAAGAGGAGUUCUUGGGGAUGUCAGCUGAAACGCUGAGAGAGAAACAGAGAGCGAUGUGAAGGAGACUUUUUGUAUUAAAACACCACCCAAAAGUGUUUUUACCACUUUAAAUGUAUUCAAGAAAAGUUGGUUGAAACGUUAUCAUGCCAAUAUCAUGAAUAAGUAGAACUGUGUGUGCUUUAACCCCCAUAUUUAUUAUUUUUCACUUUUCACUUGCCUUUUUUAUCAUGAAGAUGUGAUCAAAUUGUGUUACAAAUAUAUAAUGUAAAUGUGAAAAAGUGGAGCACAUUUAUUGCUUUAAGCUUCAGUUGGUCUGAUUGUACUUCAUAAUGUUGUAAUUAUGAUUAAUUCUGAGAAAUACAUAAAUAUAUUUGAAAAUAUAUGAUAAAUAUUGUGAUAUUGAUUUUAGCCAUGCAUGUUGAAUGUGUGUGCCAUUUGGAAAAUCUGCAAGAUGGCCUAUGUUAUAUAUUUUAUGAGUCUUGGGGUUUCGUUUUACACCAUACCACUCUGGUUAAGACACGCACACCCACACACACACACACACACACACACACACACACACACACACACACACACACACUGUUUCUUAAAGUGUAUGGUCCACCUGAGUAACACUGGUUCACACAGUAAUGCGUGGCAGGGUAAUGGUAGCAAACGCAGGUGUAGCACACAAACAUAGUUGUUCCAUGCAGAUAAUUCCAAUAUUAAACAUGAUUUUUUCAUAUGGUUUAAUAUAUCUCUUUAAUGGAUGCCAAAAAAUUCAUGAUGAAUUCAACGUUAAUAACAUCAAUGCUCUCGGGCAGAAAAAAAACAUUCUCAUUGUUAAUCAAUUUGUUGCAUUCUUUAUAUAAUAACAUUGCACCGUUAAUACAAUCAUCUAAGUUAUCAUCAGUUCACAAAAGAGUAUGAUCAUUUUUCUUGCAUCAGGCCUGGCAUUAGCAUUUCUCCUGCCCACCACGGCUAACGCAUUUUUUUAGAGAUUUUUUUUUUGCAUUAUUCAGUGUUUGCUAUGGGUCAUUUGUCUCCACAUAUUCACACAUACACACAUGCUGUAUAAAAACAAACACAAACACACAAAAAUGCCUCUGGUAGUUGUCAUAACAGACCACCCUUGAUGGAGUGAUGUCUCAUUAACAGACAGCUAGCAGCAAAACAAUGGCGCUACCUCUCCCACUUUUGCGGCGCCAUGGUGACAAUUCAUCGCUGAGACACACCAACGCAAAAUCUACGCUUUCCUGUUCAAUUUCAACCCAUUAAUUAAAACUGUUAAACAAGUUAUCGGGUGCACUCUACGCUUUGACAGUAGCCAGCAUAUUUUAGCAGGAAAACUUAUAACUGAGUUUGUGUUUGGGCACUUUUAGCGAUCAAUUGUCUAAAAUCUUCGGUCGCAGAGUUUUCUGCAAAAUGUUCUUUUUUCCCCCAUGCAACUUAUUUAGUUUUUGUUUUUUUAAGAGUUGAUGGAUGGAUGAUUGAUACUUAAAAUUCGAAAUUAAUCAAAUUUAGUGGGAAGUGCCAUUUAUUCUCAUAACAAUUGAUUUCAUGCCAAUGCGUGUGUAAUCAUCAGUGUGGUAAUUACUAAUUAGGUAAAAGCGGUCCACAAUUGUUGAUUGUUAUUUGUUAUUAAAGGGACGAGUAGAAAAAAGCUGAAAAUGUUCUGGUGUUUUUUUUUCUUCUAUGUGUGGCUGAUGUCCUUGCUGCUAUGCAAUUAGCUGACCCAUUAAAUGCCUUAUUAUUCGCAGUUACACAUCUGUAAUUGAUGUUUGUCUUCGCCGGUGCCCCGAACAACCCACGUCGGAGUGUCAUUCUCAUUAUGUUCGCUGAGAGGUUCUGUAGGCCGGAGAUUUGAACCACAGUUUCUGAAGUGUGCACACUGUGAAGGCGAGGAGUCGAGAUGGAGGGAAGAGAGAGAGAGACGUAUGGAGAGGACGGGCAGCGGCAACCAAAAGUGGAAGAAGAGGAGAUGUACUUUGAUUGACAGUUGUUUGGCCCGCUGCCUGCUGAGGUUGUUCCCCCCGUCGACUGCUAUUAUCGGCAGAAGGACUUCCCCAUUGCCUUGGCAGGGACUGUGUCACCCCUCUCCCCUGGAGGAUGCUAUCCCAUUUGGGGGAAGAUGAAUAGGGGUCCCCUCACCCAGUAUGAGGUCUAUGUGGACAGAAUCUUUACAGGGGGAGCACAGUGGCGUAAACAGGCUUUAUGUCAAUACCAGCAUUUUUGACAUCAUAAAAACUACCGCACCCCCCCCCCCCCGAUAGUUUUAAGACCGCUCGUUUGAGGGAGGUGUCUGGGUUCCACUUUUUAGAAAUGUUAAAAAGUUGACUUGUAAUUCAUUUAUGACAAAUAUGGGAGUGAAUUGGAGUUACACAAAUAAUGUUUGUGAAAAAACUGUGACACUAUAUACUAAUUACAAUAAUGUAAUUACAUACUUUUGUAACUUGUUUCAGUUUUGUUUGUUUUUUGAUUUUUUGACAAUUCUUUAUACUUAAUCAACC